CUGAAGGCAGCCCUCUUGGCCUGCUCCCAUCAAGCCUUCUGGAACCCUCUCUGAAAGGGAGAUGACUGCAUCUCAGAUGGACAUCCACAGACCUCUCCCAGGGCCAGAGCAGAUUUCUAGUCAGCUCUUGCACAUGCAAAACUGAGCUUCCUGCUAGCAGCUCAAAGACAAUACAGGCUUCUCAGGACAAGGGAAAGGUCGCACCAGAUGUGCUCUGGGACCUAUCCAGGUCUAACCCUCACUGUUUCUGACCCCAAACUGACAUCAUCGUCCCUUCCCAAAACUGCCCCUUCCUUUUAAGUCCUUCAUUUCUAUUCAUGGUACCACUGUUCCUCCUGUGACUUGGUCUCAGAAUUCCAGAAUGUCUUUUUCCGCUUCUCAUCUCCCACCGCCCACCCUUGAAAAAAAAUUGUUGUGUUCAG
RNAcentral lists this long non-coding RNA (422 nucleotides) under Pan troglodytes (chimpanzee). RNAcentral's name for it is "long non-coding RNA NONPTRT003063". The record is from RNAcentral. Lineage: Eukaryota; Metazoa; Chordata; Mammalia; Primates; Hominidae.